UAGCAUGAAUGGUCUGACGAAAGCAAUACUGUCUCCUCUUUAUUUUUUAGAAUUAACUUGUGGGUGAAGAGGCCUACAUUAAAUUGAAGGACAAGAAGACCCUGUCGAGCUUAAAAGUAAAAGUAGAUGUUAGUUAUUUGAAAAAUCAAUAAGCUCAUUAUAGCUUUUAGUUGGGGCGGACGAAGGAAUAGGCAAAGCUUCUUUUAUUUUUGUAAAUCUAUAAAUUUGGAUCCAGUAGAACUGAUUAAAAGAAUUAGUUCCGCAGGGAUAACAGCAUAAUCUCCUU
RNAcentral lists this ribosomal RNA (286 nucleotides) under Melanoides tuberculata. Its description in RNAcentral is "partial 16S ribosomal RNA". The record is from RNAcentral. Lineage: Eukaryota; Metazoa; Mollusca; Gastropoda; Thiaridae.